RNAcentral lists this ribosomal RNA (468 nucleotides) under uncultured bacterium. RNAcentral describes it as "partial 16S ribosomal RNA". It matches the Rfam family "Bacterial small subunit ribosomal RNA", at positions 28 to 507 of the family's 1533-position model. The record is from RNAcentral.
GACGAACGCUGGCGGCGUGCUUAACACAUGCAAGUCGAACGGACAGGCCCUGCUUUUGUGGGGUGCUCGAGUGGCGAACGGGUGAGUAACACGUGAGUAACCUGCCCUUGACUUUGGGAUAACUUCAGGAAACGGGGGCUAAUACCGGAUAGGAGCUCCUGCUGCAUGGUGGGGGUGGGAAAGGGUCGGCGGUUGGGUGUGGACUCGCGGCUUCUCAGCUGGUUGGUGGGGUAGUGGCUUACCACGGCGUUGACGGGUAGCCGGCCUGAGAGGGGGGCCGGACCGAUUGGGACUGAGCUGCGGCCCAGACUCGUACGGGAGGCAGCAGUGGGGAAUAUUGCACAAUGGGAGGGAGCCUGAUGCAGCGACGCCGCGUGCGGGAUGACGGCCUUCGGGUUGUAAACCGCUUUCGCCUGUGACGAAGCGUGAGUGACGGUAAUGGGUAAAGAAGCACCGGCUAACUACGUG